RNAcentral lists this transfer RNA (75 nucleotides) under bacterium. RNAcentral describes it as "tRNA-Asn". It matches the Rfam family "tRNA". Rfam says of the family: Transfer RNA (tRNA) molecules are approximately 80 nucleotides in length. The record is from RNAcentral.
UCCCCUGUAGCUCAGUGGUAGAGCAAUCGGCUGUUAACCGAUUUGUCGCUAGUUCGAUCCUAGCCGGGGGAGCCA